UACGUAGGGUGCGAGCGUUAAUCGGAAUUACUGGGCGUAAAGUGUGCGCAGGCGGCCAUGCAAGUCGAGUGUGAAAGCCCCGGGCUUAACUUGGGAAUUGCGCUCGAAACUACGUGGCUGGAGUGUGGCAGAGGAAGGUGGAAUUCCACGUGUAGGGGUGAAAUGCGUAGAGAUGUGGAGGAACACCAAUGGCGAAGGCAGCCUUCUGGGCCAACACUGACGCUCAUGCACGAAAGCGUGGGGAGCAAACAGG
RNAcentral lists this ribosomal RNA (253 nucleotides) under uncultured bacterium. Its description in RNAcentral is "partial 16S ribosomal RNA". It matches the Rfam family "Bacterial small subunit ribosomal RNA", at positions 524 to 776 of the family's 1533-position model. The record is from RNAcentral.